CCUUUUUUUACAUAUGGGAAACCAAAAAGCAGGGGGAAUGUGGAGGAAAAAAACGAGGGAGGAGCCGACCUUCCCCCAGCGCCGACUUGCCUCUCACUGUCGUCGACCCUCGGACGACGGAGCUGUUCCGUGCCACCAUCUCGCAGCCCCGCUGCCCUCUCCCGCACCUUCUCCAAACUCAUCGGUGCCGGAAUCGGUAUUUUCGCCUCCGACGACGCAGGCGUUGUGUAACUCUGCCCGGUCGCCACGAGGUUUGUUUUCGACGGGAAUUGAACCGUCUGACCUUGGAGAUGGCGUAGAAAGGUCAAGCGCAAGCCCUACACGGCCGACGGCAUCAGAACCGCUAAGUAGAGUGCCGUCGCCGCCACUGUCGCUGCCCCUACAUCCUGGACGAAGUUCGUCGCCUCCACGCGCAGGAAUCCCCUCUGUGGCUUACUAGGCACUGUCGCUAGUGUCCUCCACCGCCAUUCGGACCUAGCUCGAGCUACGUCGUCGGGCGCCGCCUCUCCGACCCCGUCCACCAACAAGAUCAAGAUGUUGUGGGAGAUAAUCUUCGAAGAUUCAUCGUCGCGGGAAGAAGAAGAAGAGGAUGAAUUUGAGUUGGCGACUUCCGUGGUUGCUAUGGAGGAAGAUUUUAGGAGACCGAGGCGUGGUUCCAGUUUGGUCAAAGGUUGUUUCUUCGAGAUAGCAUCAUGGGUCAUGAUGGUCUUAUGAGGGAUUUCUUUAUGUAAUACAAUAUACCCGCCUUAAUUUUUUUGGCAUCGAUUCCGUAUACACCUGGAUCUCUUCAACACCAUUGUAAAAGCUAUGGAAAAACAGGAUCGUUGCUUUCAACUGAGAAGGAGUGCAGCGGGAACAUCAAGUGCAAGUUCAUUGGUGAAGGUUAUAGCGGGCAUGUAUGGAUGUCUCACCGGUGCCAUUAAUGACUAGGUUCGCAUUGGGGAAGUUCUCAUCCUCGAGUGUGUGAGACGAUUCUACGCAGUUGUGAUCGAGAUUUGUGGACCGGAGUACUUGAGGGCUUCCACUAAUGAAGAUACCGAGAGGCUCAUGGCAGAAAAUGAAGAGAGAGGUUGUCAAGGGAUGCUUGGAUCCAUUGACUGUAUGAAUUGGACAUGGAAGAAUUGUCCUGUCGCAUGGCAAGAUCAGU
Molecule: long non-coding RNA, 1147 nt
Organism: Triticum dicoccoides
Lineage: Eukaryota; Viridiplantae; Streptophyta; Magnoliopsida; Poales; Poaceae
Exons: 4
Source: RefSeq, a predicted model, not a curated record